RNAcentral lists this long non-coding RNA (20456 nucleotides) under Panax ginseng (ginseng). RNAcentral's name for it is "long non-coding RNA (PGIN_LNC003817)". The record is from RNAcentral. Lineage: Eukaryota; Viridiplantae; Streptophyta; Magnoliopsida; Apiales; Araliaceae.
AUAGUUUGAAAAGAGUUAAAGUUUAAUACAAUGUCACUAUGUCAGUAACACGAGCGAUGUUAAUAUUGUGAAAUAUCACUAAUGAAGUAUUUGUGUUGGACAAAAUUAUCCUUAUUUUAACUAUUGUCAUAAUCUUACUGCUUAUUUUAACUAUUCAGUACUUUGAAUAAUAGUGUCUGUAUACAUUUUAUACAAAUAAUAAGGUGAAAUGGCGUCACAACUAUCCCAAAAAAGAAAAACAAAAAAAGAAGAAGAAAGCUUCAUUAAUUGUCAGAUAUGAGAUUUAAUUAUUUUACUUAUGAUCAGAAAGCUUCAUUAAUUGUCAGAUAUGAGAUUUAUAUCCUCAACCGGAUCCUCCCUUACAUUAACCGGGCAAAUUUUUUUAGUGUAUCUCCAAUUGCAUAACGACAAAACAAUUCCUGCAAAUACACAAACCAUGAUUAUACACUCUUUAAUAAACUUAUUAUGAUUUUAGUCUCAUUUAUUUUAAUAAAAAUAGUAUAAAAUAACAUAAUAUCUCAUUACAAUUUUAUUAUCAGACAAUCAUUAUAAAAUUAAUCAUUUAACAAAUUUAAGAAUAAACAUGGAUAUUAAUUGUUGGUUGUGAUUCAAAAUUUUUAAUUUGGUAAAGUCCCACAUUGUCUAUUUUGAAAACUAUUCAUGUGUAUAUUAGUGUAUUAUAAGUGUAUUAUAGUCUUAGGUUUAGUAACAUGGUUGAGAAAAAAUUGAUGGACACACGCACAUGAGGAUGCAUGGCUAAGAAAUUGGGAUGCGAUAAGUUUGGAUCUUAGAAUUUUGGCCAAAAAACCUUAAUACAAUGUUCAUAUUUUUUACGGUUCUGUUCAUCCUUUUUUCCUAUAAAUACCAGUCUGAUCUUAGGAGUUAAUACACUUACAAAAUUAUUCUUCUUUUUAAUAUAUACAUUGUUACUAUUUUCUGGGCAAUUCACAAAGAUAAGUCCAAAAUCUUCUUCUAUAAGUACACACAAUUGGAGGCUUCGUCAUUGAAUCCUGAAGAGUGGACGCUAGAGCUAAUCUAUACCAAAUGUUAUAACUAGUGAGACCAAAAUUAUUUUUUAGAACAAUAGUUUUGCUACGCCUCGAUUUCAGUUUUAAUUUUACUGUUUGUUCGUCUUGUUAAUUAAUACUGCAAAUUUUUAAUAUAUAUGUAUCCUUAAGCUCUGUCAAUUUUGCUUGGUAGCUUUUUUUUAAUGGCCUUUACUUUGGAGGGAUGUUAGCACAAGCACAAAAAUAAUUAUAUAAUCGAUAUUAAGAAUCUCUCAAUGACAAUAUUGAUAAAACUCAUUCUAUGGAUGAAAAUUUAAACCUCACAAUAUGGACGAAAUUAACUCCACAAUAAGAAAAAAAUAAAGUCUCACAAAAGAUGAAAGACAGUGCCUGGAUAUGUUAUAUUUAGAUUGAAUGAAUGAAAUAAAAAAUAGUAUAUAAUAUAUUGUUUAUAUGGGAAGUGAUUCAUAACUUGCGUUAGUUAUGAGCACUAUUCAAGUUAACUCAUUUUUUACAGUCCAAUAGAAGAUCUAAAUAUUUGGUUGGGACCGGUCUCUACUCUCUUAUGGUCAGCCAAUUUUUUUUAUGUUGAUCGUUACAUGAAAAGUCGUAGAAAUUAAUUAUGGAACUUAAAGUAAUUAUAAUUUAAAUUACAAAAAUAUAGCUAAUUAAUACUUCACUCGCUAAUUGGUUCACAAAUAUAAAGAAUUAUAAAAUUAGUAGUAGACUAAUAUAAAGAAUAGUACUUGACUAGGUAAUUUAGGAAUAGUAGUUGAUUACGUAAUUUAUUUAUGGGUAGAAAUAUAAUAUAAACUCAAUCACAAAUGUUGGGAGAAAAAAAAAAUACAAACUCACAAAUGUUGAGAACUGAACUUGAAACCAUCAGUCUUAAAUCAUGCUAAGAUCUCAUUGACAGAUCAUUCAUUUUGUUGAAUAGAGGGAGUAAUGUAUUUUGAAGACACACACACACACACACACACACACACACACACACACACACACACACAUAUAUAUAUAUAUAUAUAUAUAUAUAUAUAUAUAUAUAUAUAUAUAUAUAUAUAUAUAUAUAUACAAGUUUACAACAUAAUUAUGAUCAAUUAUGCAUGUAAAUAUGUAUAGAAAUAGUGCACUAAGAACACUUACCAAAAACUUGAACAACAACUAGGAAUCCAAUGUUGGUUGAAGCCAUAUUCCUUCUUUUAAAUUAGGAUGAGUUUUGGCCAUUGCGUCCAUUACUUGUAGGGAAAUUUUUUUUAUGAAAAAACGCGUGACUGAAUUUUUCAAAGUCUUCGUAAUUAAGAAAAAACGUGUGGAUGAGUUUUGGCCAUUGCGUCCACUUAAUUAUUGGCCGGAUGAUACUCAAAGUCAAAGUCUAUUUAGUCGUUUAAUUUAAUUAUAUAGUUGGAGACUUGGAGUGCCGGUCAUUGGUGGUAUUAGUCAAAGAAUACUCUCAGGUCACUUUAGUUAAUGCCUUUGUGCCCAAAUAGAGAAAAAUAUAACUUGUGUAGACACCCAAAAUUUAUGUUUUGCAAUUAAAAAUAACAAAGUACCAAAAGAAAAAUAAAAAAUAAGAAGCUGAAAAUUAGAAAAAACAUAAUUUUACGGUUUGAAUUGAAAAAACAGGAAGACCUGAGGGGAAGGAGAGAUAUGACCUAAGAGAGUAUGUGUGGGCCUUGGGGAGUGGGGGCUUGUAACACCACACAAUCCUAUAUCGAUAGAUAUAAAAAGAAAAUUAUUUGUAUAUAAAGAAUUAAAUAUUUAUUAAUAGUACCUUCAGUUAUGACCUUUCGGGUGAGCAUAUAGUGGGUUAAGAUAGUCCAAUAAGAUAUAAUUAGACCACCUGAAACACUAUUAGACCAAUAAUUUAAGAUUUUAUUUGAACUUAAGAUUUGAUCCAAAUUAUUUCAGAGCUCUUAAAGCCAUCAUCCUGAUGGCGGCUCGACCCUUGAAUUCCCAAGAAAUUAAACCUUUAUUUCUUCCUCUAUAUAUGUUUUGAGAGAGCAUAUAACUUUAAUUAAACAAGUCACAAGUCGAGUUAAUUUGAGUUGGAUAUAACACUCUCCUUUAGUUGAAUGAUCAUGAUUCUUUUUGUAACGAUCUCAAAAUUAGGACAAUUUCCAUUUCCGAUUUUGGUCGUUAAAAAUACAUUUUCAUUCUAGGUUUACAACGCUAAUCAAUAUUAUCAUUGAUAAAAUGCGUAUAAAUUUAAAAUUUCAAUGAUUUUCUUUCUUAUUACCUAAAUCGUAACCUUUACAAUUCAUCUUAUUUCAAAAUCAAAUAUAUGUUAUGAUUUAUCUUCCCUACAUUAAAUAUAAGUAUUUAAAAAAAAUCGACCUUCAAUACGUACACCAUUCUUUUAUACCUUUAUAACAAAAAUUUAACAAUCAUAUAUUUCAUAUAUAUUAUCUCUUUUACACCGCUGUCAUCAAACCAGUUACCAAGUAACUGUACAACUAUAUCUCAUAUUCCAAGACAAAUAUUCGUUAUUUUACAACUCAAAGUUUAUACAAUUUUGCUCAUGUACAUUACAAUUACAAGAAUCAUUUUAUCUUAAUAUAAAUCUAACUAAGGAAAAUAAUAAAAAAAAUUCAAUUCGUAUCAUGCUUGAAGUCCUUAUCGCCAUGUUAACUAGAGCAAUUCAUCUUUAAGCUGCAAAUAUAAUUAUUUAAGUAUGAGCGGGAUGGCUCAACAAGUCCAACAGUUUAUACAAUUCAUGUUUCACGUAACAAUUAUGCUCUAUAAUCUAUUCAAUGACAUUCAUUUCAUUUUAUGCAUUUCAUAAAUGUAAGACCCUAACUUUUAAUGAAUAAAGAUUUAAUUUUCUCUAAAUAUUAUUCUAAAUAGUAAGGUGAUAAUUUAAUAAAUGCUAUAGUUAUGGGUGAUAUGUGCAAAUUUUACAAAGUAAGCAAGCUGUUAUAAAAUAUUCGUUUUGUCGGGAAAUAUUUGUUUGAUGGAGGAAUAUUCUUUUUGUCGGAGAAUAUUCGUACGACGGCGCAAUCAUUGGUGGACUCCACAACAGAAUAACUAUUGGAUAUAGAAAGCGACAAAAAUAACAUUUUUAUAAAAAUAACGGCAAAACUUUUACUGUUAAAAUGUUGAAAUACCCGGUGAUAAAAAAUAUAGUAAUACGCGUUGUUGCACUGCACACGGUAUUGCACAAUAUCUCUGGUUAUUGAUGCUUACGUAAGAAGUCACUCAGUUUCAUUCAAUAAUUGUCACAGUAGUUGCUGCAUAGUAUCUCAUAUUAUUGAUUCAAUUAUUAUCACAGUAUCAUAUGUACAAUAUUUUAUAUUAUUAAAUCAAUAAUUGACACGACACAAUUAUUCAUAUAAAUAUUUGUACUAUUGACAAUGUCUAGAAAGUUCUGUCGAGGAAAGGGGUAAGGUUAUUUAAUUGUGCGCCAAUAAGAAGAAAUCCUUAUCAGAAAGCCCCCUCUUUCCUGGAAACGAUCUGGUUUUGCCAAUAUUGUGAGUUAUAAUAUUAAUGAUGAAUAAUUGUUGAAAGAUUAAAAAUGUGUUGAUUGAAGAUAAGUGAAUUAUGGUAAAUAUUUAUUCAAUUUUUGAUAUAAAUAGAGGGGUUGUCAUGAGACUUUUGUUAUAAAUUUGGCUUAUUCUAUGGGACCCAUAGGUCAUCAUCUAAGAGUCACUUUCACCAAUAGUACUUACCUUUCACAUUACAAGCGUCAAACCACUUCCUUUUUCACAUUACAGGCGUCAAACCACUUGCCUUUUCACAUUACAUGCGUUAAACGACUUGCCUUUUCACAUUACAGGCGUCUUUGCCUCUUCGCAUUGCAAGGUCCAAGCUAGAAUUCUUCUAUAAAUAGAAGCUCAUUUCUUCCUUCAUUCUUACCAAUUCACGAAAGCUAUAGAGAGAGAAACUAUAGAAAGAGAAUAAGAGAGAAAGAAGAAGAUCGAGUAUUCGAGAAGCAAACACACACCACCAACACAAAGUUCUGUUACCACACUAGUGCAAUAUCUAGUCUUUUAUUAUGGUAAGGGGUGUUAUUUUCUUUCAAUACUCGUAAAGGAUGUUAUUUUCUUCAUACUCAUAAGGGUUGUCAUUCCAUUCUUUAUUAAUCUGUGGGAAUAACAUGUCUACGCGGAUUACUGCAUGCCUGGUGAAUAACCAUUCGUAUUCAUUUUUUUAUUAAUUUGUGGGUAUAUUUUGUCUAUGCGGAACCACAUGCCUGGUGAAUAACCCUUUGUAAUCAUUCUUUAUUAAGUUGUGGAAAUGAUCUGUCUACGCGGAUUAUCGCAUGACGGGUAAAAAUCCAUUUGCAGUUUCGUAUAUUCUUUCAUACUAGCUUGUAUUGGAUAUUAUUUCUUUUGUACUCGUCAAGGGAUAUCGUUUUCUUUCACAUUUCUCCAUUUAUGGUACAAAAUUAUUGUUUAUUUCCAUAACUUUAUUAUUAAAUGGUGAAAAUCCCUGAAAUUAGUAGAAUAUCCUUAAUAGUAUGUGUUUCAUCUAAUAUCAUUUCACUGAAAUAUUGGUCUGAAUAUUUUUAUUAAAUUUUAAUCUAUUCAUACGGGGUACUAUUCAUUCGCGGUACUAUUCACGAAGAAAAUUAGUUUCUUUUUUUGUCCAAUUAUCUUUGAAAUUUGAAUCUUAAAUAUCAUUUAUUAAAUUUUACUCCACAAUUGGUGAUCAUGUUGACAAUUUGGAUAUUUUUGAACUCGGGAUAAAUUAAAUUAUAAAUCUCUAAUAUUUGUCAUUGAUCUCACUUAAUUCAUUCUUUAUAUCAUUGUCAUCAUCCUCAUGCUUAUGUUAUGGUGAAAGUCAUCUUUUACCCGUAGUACAAAGAUGGACUGUUGAUUGGUAUGAUUAUGACCAGAUAUUAUGUAUUGGUAUAAUCAUGACCUUUAAUGUUACAAAUAAAGGUUUGUGGUGAAAGUCCUCUUUAUCCCGUAGUGCAUAGAUGGACAUGUGUUUGACAUGAUCAUGACCACUGGUGAUAUAAACGAUUAUCGUUGGCCCGUAAUGCAUAGAUAAUUCUUUGAUUGGAAAUUAUUAUUGAUUGGUGUUACAGGGAUAAAAUAUUAAUGAUGAACUUUUAAAUCAUAAAAUAUAGUAGACAUCAUGAUCUACUUGACUCUUCUAAUGGAUUGUUAUUUUCAUUGCAAUUGUUGAUCCAAAACUUGUUGUCUAUUGUAUUCUAUCAGAUUUUUCCCUGUUGAAGACUAAUGAUAAUUUGUUCUACGUAUAUUAUCUUAGUCAUAAUAUUCUUUACUAGGCUAGUUGAACUCACCCUUUUUCUUUUUGUCCUGUUGUUCUUCUCAGGAAAUGAAAGUGUAGCUGGAACUAGUCGGGGAGUGGAGUAAUGGUCCGAGAUAGUUACUACAGAAGUCUUCACUAUGUUGUGAAAUAGUGUGAUAAUAACUAUAAUGAAGACUUAAUUUGAGUUUGGAUAUUGUCGUAUUAUGUACCGUGCAAUAUUUGUAUUCAAAUUCCCAGCUUAUGUGUUGUCGUAUUUUGCACGAAAGUUUAAUAAUUUUAAAUAUGGAAGUUUGUACCAUGUAUUUUGGUGACUCAAAAUAGGUUGUGUGAACCUAUUUUGGGGGCGUCACAAUAAAUGCAACAUAAAGCUCAUGUAAUGCAUUUAAAUAAAUAUGCAAUUUAUAUUUCAUGUUGUGCAUCAAAUACACAUUUCUCAGUUUACAUACAUUGCAUCUAAUUUUAAACAUUUAAUACAUGAAUUCCAUAUAAACAUAUAACCAAAUUCGCACAUAGCAUCGAAUUCCAUUAUCUAGCACAUAUCGAUAAUUUAAAUAUCACAUUAUCGUAUAAUCAACCAGUUCGCAUACUACUAUAAGAACUUUCCUCGAUAUUCGUUCAUUGUUAUACAUUCAUCUAGGACUCAUUGCGUAAUUGUGACAACCCAGAUUUUUGCAAGAAAAUAUUAAAAUAAGAAUUUAAUAAAUAAAAUUCUUAUUAUGAGAUGUGCCGAGUUUGAAUGUUUAAAUAUAUGUGUUAUACAUAUAUGUAUGUGAUUUAUAUGGAGAAUUUAAUACGUAUAUAUAAGAGUGAAAUAUAUAUAUAUAUAUAUAUAUAUAUAUAUAUAUAUAUAUACAUAAAUUUGGAAAUUAAGCUUUAAUAGUUGAUUAAACUAUUAAGUUAGUUAGUUUGAGCUAAGUACGAAGUAAAAGAUGUAAGCAAGGAAAAAACAAUUAAUAUUAAUUAAUUGAGAUUUAAGAUAAAGAAUAUAUUAUGAGUAAUAUAAUUUUAGAAUUAAGUCUUGAACGACAAUGGUGUUAUUGUGAAUUAAAUUUCAUAAGUGAAAUGAUUAAUUCAUUUAAUUAAAAUAAUGAAUUAAUGUAUGUAUUUUGUAUAAAGAAAAUAAUUAUAUUAAUUAAAUAUAGUAUUCUUAAUAUAUAACAUAUCAAUGUAAUAUAUGAAAUGGUUUAGUAUCUUUAAUGAUGCCAAUUGAAUAUAAAUUAAACAUGAGAUGUGAUAAUUAGUUCAUUAUUUUAAAAUGAGUGAAUUUAAAUAUUCAUUUUGAUGAAUAAAAAUAAAGAAUAUAUGUUAUUUUCUUUAAAUUAUAAGAACUAUGUUAUAUAUAUAUAUAAUGAUAUAAUAAUUAUAUUAUAAUAAUGGAAUGAGAAGAAAAAAUAUGGAUGGGGGACCAAUAUAUAUAAAUGAAUAUUUGUGUUGAAUUAAAUUAACAUUUAACUUAUAGUUAAAUGUAUUACAUUGAUAUAUGUAAUAUAUAUAGGCUAUGACAUGCGAAUUGGACUGAGUAUAGAAUUAGUACUCAGCUUUCUUAUAGUGUAUGGGGGGAAAGUAACGUAUUUGAGCUCUCAAUUUCUCAGACCCUUCCUCUCCCAAAAUGCUCAGGAAUUUAUAUUGAUAUAUCUCAUUUGGCUAUUCUUCAUACAUCUCAAUUGAAAGUCUAUAAGAGAUAUAGAGAGAGAAAUGAGUUUGCAAUGGAAGUUGAAAGAAAACUUUGAAAGUUCUGAUAAUUCACAAAAGAACUGAUGAUUUAAGAAGGAUUGGAUCAAGGAUUAAGCAGGAAUUAGAGCUCAAAAGGUAAUGUUUCAUCUCUGACAUAUGAAUUGGAGAGGCUCAUAAGCAAUUAAAGUAAUUAUGUAUUUAUAAUUGGUAGAAAAGUAGAGAUGGAUAUUGGUUGUGUUAAUUAUAUAUGAUUUCCAUAGGAAAUCUAGGAUAGUUAUAAUUGAAAUUUUAUGAAACUAAGUUUUUGAGUCGAUGCCCAUAUGUUGUUUGUCUUAAUGCCUAAGUGAAAAAUUUACUAAAGAUAUAGAAAUGUGACACCCCUAAAUUCGGGUACUUCAAUUUCAUUGAUUUGGUGCUCAUUAUCCAUCAAAAUCACAUCUAAACUACCAACAAUAAAGGAUAAUAAACUUCGUAAACAAUAAUUCCAUUAAAGGGUUACAUAAUCAAACGAAAUCUCAGGUUAUCUAACCUUAAUUAUUACAUCAACAGUGGAAUAAAAAAACAUAAACAUAAUCAAGUCUUAUUACAUAAGCUUCACAUUUGAAAUAUAAUUUAAACUUCAUCAACUUAUGCAUCUUGCCCUUUCCCUUGCUCGUGGACGGCUCCUAGGGUUUUUCGAUCUUAGCUGAAAUGUUUAAUGUAAGAGUGAGCAAAAAAACUUGCUCACAAGUAGAACAAUGUAUGAAUGAACAAUGAAUCAACUUUAAUUGAAUAAGGUAUUCUUACUUGAAACAAUAAGCUUUAAAUCAAGAACUAUGAGUUCAAUAGAAUAAUUGACUUUCAAAUGAAUUUUAGGUAUCAAAAUCAAGGUAUAUGCUGAGGUUCACAAGAUCACAAACUAUGUCCUAGGUUAACAAGUAUUUAUAGCGUAACCUUUAAUAGUCAUAAAGACUAUAUAUGGACUAUCUAUCUCGUACUCCAGGUGAUCAGCUAUUUGUACAAUAUAUUGUGCACAAAUAUUUUAACGCUAUUGCGUAGCUCAGAAUUAUAGUUUUCGAUAACAUAAUCCCUUAUUUUAGGGUUGUUCAUCUCAUCUUUAACAUUAGGAUUCAUACCAAAGGAAGUUUGGUUUGGAAUAGCACAAAGAAAAUUUAUAUCUUUAGAACGUUCAUCAAUUAAGGACUAGUUUACCAUAAAGGAUUCGAUAAUCAUUCAAAAGUUUGAUAGCAACAUAUUCUUUUAUAAGGUACAUAAGAAAGUCAUGAUUCAAUAAGUGAUAGUCACAAAAAUUCACAAUUGAAUAAACAUCAUUUAUCGAAGCAAUGCUUUCAGAAAGAACUAGGAAGCUUAUUUAAGAUUCAUAAACAUUGAAUAAUUUAUGAAACAUUGUUGAAUUAUAAAAUAACAAAGGUUAGGAAACUUGCACAAUGAAAAAGAAGAGUUAAGAGACUUGUCUUGCGAGUUCGCUACACAAUUACAGUACACUUCCUUUAAAAAUCAUACACAUUUCAGUCACAAUAGCACAUUGAUUAGUUAUGAAAUAGUAUUCAUUAACCACUUACAUUAAUCCAUCCUAUGCCUUUUUGAUUAUCACAUUUACUCAUCUCAUUGUGAUUAUAAUAUGUUAUGUUAUCUUGUUACAUGUUUUAAGCUUUACUACAUUCAUUAUAAUAGGUUAAACGAACAUCCCUCGAAUUGUGCAAUUACCAGCUCAUUACUGGGUCUGUUCUGCACAAGGCGCGGUUGCGCCACAUUUGAACUUGAUCACUGCGCGGCAGCACCCUAGCCUGUGGAAGCACCCCAACUGUUCUUUAUUCCGACGCGGUAGCGCUGGAACUCAGAAGCAGUUUCUGUAGUUCGACUCCAGACUCUGCUACAACCCAAAAACUCUUAAUUUCAUCACCCAUACUCCAAAUAAAAUAAUUUCAGAUGUUAUAAACUUUAUAAACUUGAAACUAAACAUCUAUAAAAUAAUUCUAACAUCUCAAACAACUUUAACAAUCAAAUUAAGAACUCAAAUUCCAUGUUCAUGUUCUAUUUUCAUAUUUUGACAUACUUAGCGAAAUCAAUGAUCACCACGAAUUCGAUUCUCAACCAUUUUGAUUCAUACAAGUUGUGUUGUUUUCGUAUCUCAGAGUACUACCAUAAAUAAUCAUCAAUUUGAGAUUUUGAACAUGGAUUCAUAACUAGUUUAAAACAGUCUAUAAUAUACAUAUUACAACCAAAAGUCUAAUUUUUUUUAUUUAACACAUUUACACAAAUUUGAUUACUUCAAAAUCAUUUAUAGAAGAUAUAUAACAAAUCAUAUUUACCAAAAAAAACAUAUAUAACCUAACUCUCAUCAAAUCAUUCAACCAAAUAAAUUUACAGUGAAGAAUUUUGGGAAAAUAUAACUAAGAGAUUUAAAGUUAGUUUAUUACCUUUGAUUACUUCUUAUACUAGAUAGAUGAUGAAUAUUUGCUAAUUUAGCCUUCCUUCUCCUCCUUGAUUCUCAGACCUUCUUCUCCAAUUCUCAGAGAAUUCUCUCACUUUCUCAAUUUCUUUUUCAAGCUUAAGGAAAAUUGAGCGUAUGAAUAAACUGAACAUAACUUAACGCUCAAUUGAGUUGGCCGGUUACAAAAAUAAAACUCUCAACUGUUAAAAAUAUGGACAGUCUAAACCAUGUUUGGCUAAACUCAAUUAACCCAUCUUUAUUUAUUUUAAAUAAUUCUCUUAUUAUAUGAUACACAUGUGUCACACAUAGUUUAAUUAAAUUAUUUAGCCAAUACAACUAUAAUUUCAUUUAACCAAUUAUUAGCCCUCUAAUUUAAUUAUUUAAUUAAAUUAGAAUGUUACCAUGAUAUUAGCAUAAUAAAAUACACGCCAAAAUAUUAAUCAACUCACAUAAUUUAAUCAACAUAACCACAUUUAAAUAAAUUAUUCUAUAACAAUUUACAUUUAAUAUUUAUUUUAUUUAAUUAAUAUUCAAACUAAAAUAUUUACUUUAUUCAAUAACUAUUUUUAAUUACUUUAUAAAAUUACAAUAUAUCGUUACAGGGAAUAAAAUGGGAUAUGAAUGGUGUAAAAUGGAACUAAAACAUGUCCUGAGUAAUUUAAAAUCACGAUAUAGCAGUUAUGGAUUAUAAUAGAAAGUUUGAUUUAUGGAAAUUCAAGCUCUGCAGAUAACAGACCAUGUCUGCGUCUGAAGCUGAAGUGGCGUGACCGCGUCACUUCCCGAGUCUAUACCAGCGCGACCGCGCUGGUCACCAAAAAAGCCAAGAUUUGUUUUUCAUGAUUUGAGCUUUUGGACAGGUGUAGCCAAGUCUUUUAUGUUCAAAAAUGUAUUACAAUUAGUGUCCAUCAUAAUUAAGUAAGGAAUAAGUGAUUUUAGUAUGAUCCAAUAUAACUUUUCAAAUGAAAACUAAAAUAAUUUGAAAACUAAACUUAGAAGACCUAUAUUGAUUCCAAGUACUUAAAAUCAUGUGUAUUGAUGAUAUAAGGAGCCUAGCAUGUCCGCAUUGAAUUGUUUAAAGAAAAACUCAAUUUUGAGUUUAGCAGGGAGUAGCACGGCCGCGCCACUCCCAGGUUUAAAUGCAGCGCGCCCACGCCGUGCUAUAGAAUAUUCAAGGAAAUUUUGUUUUAGGUCUGAAGUUUGAGGCAUGAUGAUAGUAUGGAUCUUUAAAGCCUUAAAAAGCAUGUAAUUCAGAGUUUUUAUACUAACUAUUCAUAAGUCGGUUAUGACAAUUAAAACUUAGUAUGAGAUUAUCGAAACUAAAACAACUAUUAUGAAAGAGCAAGACUAAGAGUCAAUGUAAUCUAAUUGAUUUCAUUGAUUAUGUGCAACUGAUGCAUGUGUAUAUGAACUUAUAAAGUAAUGUAGGAUAAACGCAAAGCAGUUAAGCUGUAGUUGGUAAUCAACAAACCAUUCAAGUCUUUUAGUUCAUAUGUUCUAUUUGAACUUGAUAUUGUUUAAUUAUAAAAUUACUGCAAGGAGUAUAUAUGUUAAAUUAUGUAUGAUGCUCGAUAUAUUUGUGAAAGUCAAUUUAUGACUAAGUUGAUUAAGUUAUGACACUCAGUCUUUACAUGAUAUGUGAAAUGCAACAUGUAUGAAAUGUAUAGUAAAAUGUUUAUGAUAUAUGAACUGAGCAUAGAAUUAUGUGCUACGUGAUGCAUAAAAAUUGUUUGACUUGUUGAGCUGUCGAGCUCAAUCUUGCAAAAAUAACCUUUUUGCAGGAUAAGGAUACAAUAUUAUAUUAUCUGCUAUCUGAAUGGUAAGGAUCAGAAGACAUGCAAGAAAAUAAACUUUCUUAUUUUGAACCAUACUAAGGGUUUUCAAUGUUUGUAGUUGACAGUUUAUAAUGUGUAUUUAAUGUCAGGUUGUGAAUAUUGAAUUAUUCGAUAUAUUAAUUAGACCAGUCUAACAGAGCCACCAAAAAGCUUUAUUGAGACAGUUUUUAGACCCAGCAUUAACAAGUUAUUCACUCCAAAAUAAUUUUCAAAUCCAAUUUAACUUGACCAAUUUAUUUAAACUACUUCAAUAUACAUAUAUAUAGCCUUCCUUGAUAAUAGCUUUGCUCAAUUCUUUCUUUUUAAGCUAAACAACUCUAAGAGGAAUAUUAUCAAACAUGAUAUGGACAUUAAUUUUAUGGACAAAUUUCACCAACUUAUAUGCAUCCUUUAAAUCAUAUUUUCCUCCCUUAUCAAUUACUCCGCACAACAACAACUAAUCUCCUUACUAUUCACAAUCCAAUCAACAGUUUAUUCACAACAUAAUUUAUCCUAGAGAACAUUUAAUUUCCAAUUUCAAAUGAAAUACUAAAAACAUAACACUAACAUUGUAAAAACUUAGUUUUGUUGAAACAUUAGCUUAAUUAAUCAACUUAUAAACCUCCUUCACUACUGUUGUUCCAACUAUUUUCCUAAUUCAGCCCAUUAAUUUUUCUUAUUUUUCGAAAUCAAAAAAGUUUUAGCAAGCCUUUAUGUGUUAUGGUGCUUAACAAUUAAAGAGGCAGAGAGGAAGAAAAUAAGUUUGGGACGAAUGAAAUUUACUUAAGCUCGACAAAUUUAGAGAGGACAGGAGAUGAAAUGGAACGGAGUAGAGUCUAUCCUUAUAAAGCCAUGCUUAGUGAACUGAUAAUACCCAACUUUACUAACAGCUCAUGCUAAUUUUAGCCGAGUUAUUCUAAUAUUUACUUAAGGCAAGCCACCUCUUGCUUUCAUUCCUAAUUCGGCUAAAAUAAUUGAUUUCAUUCAUUUUUUUAUCCCAAUUAAGAUUUAACAUGUAUUCUUAGCAUAUAGUUACUAAUAUAUGUUAGAAUUUGAGCUUAAAUUGAAAUGGUUAUCAUUAAUUAUUUGAAAUGAUUACACAAAUUAAUGUGUUCUACUCCAUGAGUAGAUUAAAUUAAGUAUUUAGAAGCUCAAAUCCAUAGAAUAAUGAAUGAGAAAUUAACUCUCAAAAAUCACCCUUGGAAAUUGGAAAUGAUAAUAAAUAUUUGUGGAAAUCUAAGUCCCAUAUCGGUUAAGAACUAAAUAUUAAAUGAGUUUAUAUACAUUAAAGUUGCUCUCAAGUUUGGUCCCUAAGGGGAACCCCACUUUUAUGGAAAGGAGAGAACCUAGCCAAGGUUUGGUUCAAACCCAAACGCGCAUUACUGGCCUGACACGUGGCUCUAGGGUCUGGGUCCUUGUAUAUAAUUUUUUUGAAAAAAUUUAUUUAAAAAUUAUUUAAUUUAGUUCUAUUAUCAAAAGUAUGUCGUUUUGAUAAACAGUAUUUAUUAUUAUACUACGUCGUUUUGGGAAGAGUUACCUGUCGAACAGACGCGUCUAAACUGCGUCGUUUUGGGAAAGACUAUCUGCCUGAACAGACGCUCCAAAACUAUGUUGUUUUUGCCUGAAUGGACGCGCCUGUUUUGUUAAGCCUUAAACUACGUCGCUUUUGUUCUGCUAAGCCUAAAACUAUGUCAUUUUUUGUCCGAACGGACGUGCUUUUUUUGUUAAGCCUUAAAAUUACGUCGUUUCGGCUAAAACAGUGCCUUUUCAAGGGGUUAACUCCCUCUGAUCAGUCACUAACCCCUCCUAUAAAUAGAUAGGGGGUGCAGCCACUUCGAUCAUUUAAUUCAAGCAUUCAAGCAUUAUCAGUCUAGUUUCUAGUAUUCAUUUCAUAGACGUUCAUUUUAGAGAGAAAGUUCUAGGCAUUAUAAUUUUGGUUCGUUGAAUAUACUAUUUGGAGUGCUACUAUAGUAUAUAUUGUCAUUGUAUCCUAGGAGACAAGUGAUAUCAACUCUGAGCAUCAUACGGAGUGCAUAAUUGUCUUAAGAACAAAGUAUCAAGUACUAGCCUUGAUACAUAGUAUCACAUAAUUGUCUUAAGAAUAUAUUUUAUAUAUAUAUAUAUAUAUAUAUAUAUAUAUAUAGUUCCCAUUCAGUUUUACUAAUAAUAUAUACUCUACAAAUACAAAACAUAAUAUACAUUACCUAUAUUAUCUAAAUAAUCAAUUAAAUAACCUAUUCAAAAUUUAUAAUUCAAUUUCCUUGUUUCUUUCCAUAAUUUGUAAUUUAACACUUUAAUUACUAAAUACCAUAUAUACAUAUCAAGUAAUUCACUUGGGAUAAUUAUAAUACAAAAAAAACAUUCACAUCAAUCUAAUCUCCUUUCUUAUAUAGUUAAACAAUUGUUUAUUUAAUUAUUUAACUAUUAAGUUACUUAAUAAACUUAAUAUUUCAUUUAUAUUUUCUGUAAAAUGAUUAACUAUUAUAAGUUAACCUCUUUCUUAUAUUUUCUUUUUUUAAUUUCAUCACUUAAUGAUUUCACAUAACACAUAUAUAACGAUAUUUAACUAUCAUAAAACAUAUUUUUGUGUUAGAAUAUGUGAUUAGGAGUAAUCUUCUCCUAUAAUAAUGGAGUGAUUAUCCCCCCUAAUAUCAGGAUAGAAUCGUGCAAUUAUGAUCAUUCAAAUAUAGCAAUAGAAUAUCUUGUUGUAACAGUAGCAUAAGUUUAGCAAUAUACUCUUGUAUAUAUAUCUGCUACAUUGAUGAAUAACAAUAUAAAAAAAUUCUGUUCUCUUUGUGUUUUAUCAUGGUAUCAAAGCCAACUCCGUUUUUCCUUUAUCUAUCCUAGGAACCGGAGGUUGUUCUUUGUGUUUUUUUCUGAUCAUAAUUCUUUACUACCCACCCAUCAUGACUACUCCUACCAUUGAUGAUGGUGUUGUUAUCGGGAAUGCAAAAACUAAUUCCCUAGCUUUACCAGCACUAUAUAUGCAAGACGUCUCUUCUUCGCUUACUCCAGAGAAACUUGAUGGCACCAAUUAUGUGGAAUGGGCUUUGAAUGCACAAAAUAAAAUUUGCGGUCGAAAGAGUUGGGGAUUUAUUUCAGGUUCAAAGGCUGCACCUGAGAAUACCAAUUCUGAAGAAUAUGAAGCAUGGGAAGAUGAAAAAUGCAUGAUCAAAUCAUGGUUACUCGAUGCAAUGAACAAAGACAUCGGAUUCAUUUUCUUGCAACUGUCCACAGCAAAGGAAAUUUGGGAUAUGGCUAAGCAAACAUACUCAGUCAGUCAAGAUGCCUCAAAAUCAUAUCAGUUAUACUAUGAGGUAAUCUCUGUUCGUCAAAAUGGUGGUUCUAUUAUUUCUUAUAGGGAAAAAUUACAAAAACUUUGGCAGGAGAUUGAUGCUAUAGAUGAUUGUGCAAUGAAGUGCAAACCUGACAUUGAGAUAUAUACCACUAAGGUUAAUUCUCAACGUGUUUAUAUUUUCUUGGCUGGUUUGGACUCAUCACUGGAUGGGGUUCGUGGACGGGUACUUGCCACUUUACCUCUUCCAAAUCUUCAAGUUGCUUAUGUUAUAGUUUGUGCUGAGGAAAAUUGUCAAAAUGCUAUGAUGGGUGGAAUAUCUACUGAUGGUACUGCUAUGGCUACUAAAAGGAUUAAUCCAUGGCAAGACCAUAAGAAAGGGACACGCAAAUGUACUUACUGUAAUGGUGAUAACCAUGUUGUUGAUACAUGCUUCAAACUUCAUGGUUAUCCCGAGUGGCAUCCUAAAGGAAAGAAAACUUCUGCCAACACUUCUCUACAACAACAGCCAGUGUCAUCUUCUACAGGAUUAGUUGCAUAAACUGGUAUGACUAGUACUGCCCUUAACUCUCUUUCAUGUACUAAAAAUAGUGACUGGAUAAUUGACACGGGUGCAAAUGAUCAUAUGACUUGAGGUUCUUCAAAAUUUAGCUUUUUAUCCCCUUCACAUUCUAGCUUAGCUAUUACUAAUGCCAAUGGUGUGUCAUCCCCUGUUACUAGUGUUGGUAAUGUUCCUUUAUCCUCCACUUUAUCUCUCUCUAAUGUACUAUAUGUUCCAUCCCUUACAUGUAAUCUGCUUUCCAUUAGUCAGAUAACCAUGCAAGGCCCUUAACUGUGUGGCUCUGUUUUAUCCUACUCAUUAUAUUUUUCAGCACAUAUAUACCAAGGAGAGGAUUGGCAGUGGUAGACAACGAGGAGGAUUGUACUAUCUAGAGGGAGGAACAUCAUCACAAGUUUACCAUAGUCUAACACAUAUGAAGAGUACAAAUCAAUCGGCCAAUAUCGCAGAAAUUUUGUUGUGGCAUAAACAGCUUGGUCAUCCAUCAUUUGGAUAUCUUAGACGAUUAUUUCCAUCUUUAUUUGCUAAUUGUAACCUUUCAUACUUCAUUUGUGAGACAUGUGUUAUGGAUAUAAGUCAUCGUGUUGUAUUUCCUAUGUCUUCUAAUAAAGUUGCUACACCAUUUUCAUUAGUACAUUCGGAUGUAUAUGGGGUCCCUCCCCAGUUUCCACAAAUAAUGAAAUGAAAUGGUUUGUUACCUUUGUGGAUGAUUGUACUCGAAUGACUUUGGUAUACUUGCUAAAACAUAAGAGUGAUGUUUGUUCAGUUUUUCGUCUCUUUUAUCAAAUGGUACUCACCCAAUUUGACAAAUCUAUUAAAGUGGUACGUUCAGAUAAUGGAUGUGAAUAUUUCAAGAGAGAAUUAACAGAUUUUUUACAUUCAAAAGGUAUCAUUCAUCAAACAUCAUGCCGAGAGACUCCUCAACAAAAUGGAGUAGCUGAGAGAAAAAAUCGAUAAUUACUUGAGGUCAUCCGGUCACUAAUAAUUGAAAGUAGUGUGCCUACUUACUUGUGGGGAGAGGCUCUCAAUUCAGCUAUUUAUGUGAUUAAUCAUACACCCUCUAGUACCAUAUCCUUUCAACGACCGCUUGAUGUCCUUGCUAAUCAUUGCAUGCUUCCAUCAUUGGUUAAAUUGAUGCCUCGUAUCUUUGGAUGUGUAGCUUAUGUACACCUUUCACCUCAACAUCGAACGAAAUUUGAGUCAAGAGCUUUACAAUGUGUCUUUAUUGGUUAUGGGUCUACUCAAAAAGGUUAUAAAUGCUAUCAUUCGGAGACUCGUCGAUUCUAUACCUCUAUGGAUGUUAUCUUUGAUGAGUCAAAAUUUUAUUACUCUCUUCCAGAUUUAAAGCCUACUUGUCCUGAAGAUGUUCGAUAAUUUGCAAGUCAUGAUGAUGUCUUUUGUUUUGAGCUAAAAUUAGCAACUCUACCCACUAGUGGACCCUUGGACGAGGACACCUCUACUAUAGACACAUCCAUGGUAAUACCUACAGUUCCUGAUUCUUGUCCACAAGACUCUAAUGAUCAUUGUGAAAAUUCUCAACAACCUCUUGAUAGUACAUUACCUCCUAAUUCACCGGCCAACUCCUCUCCAGAGUCAUCACAACCUACAGGUACAACUCGAAAAUUCUUCUGAAAUUAGUUUGCCAUCUAACCUUGUUCAUCAUGCACUUCCACCACGAUCUACCCAUGGGAUUCCAGCUGCUAAAUAUGAACCCGAUCCAAAAGCCAAAGUGAAAUACCCAAUAAGUAAUCAUAUCUUAUCUCACAAGUUGUCUGCUUCAUAUGCAUCUUAUGUGUGUAAAUUAUCAUCUAUCUCUAUUCCUAGUACAUUACAGGAAGCUUUGGCAGAUCCUCAUUGGACUGCAACUAUGGCAGAGGAAAUGGAGGCUCUAAAAAGAAAUGGAACAUGGGAUCUUGUUAUCCUUCCAACAGGAAAAAAACUGUGGGAUGUCGAUGGGUCUUUGCUGUCAAAAACAAUGCAGAUGGAACUAUUGAAAGAUACAAGGCGAGACUUGUCGCCAAAGGGUACACGCAAUCUUAUGGGAUUGAUUAUCAAGAAACUUUUGCUCCAGUUGCUAAACUCAAUACUGUGAUAGUUCUUUUGUCUUUAGCAGCUAAUAAAGAUUGGCCUUUACUCUAAUUCGAUGUCAAAAAUACAUUCCUGCAUGGAGACCUUACAGAAGAUGUGUAUAUGGAUCCACCUCCUGGUAUUUCAGAAUAUGAAGGUAUCACUCGAGUUUGCAAACUCAGGAAGGCUUUGUAUGGCUUGAAACAAUCUCCUAGAGCUUGGUUUGGUAUAGAUUUACUCAAGUCAUCAAAAAGUUUGGUUAUACUCAAAGCAAUUUGGAUCAUACCUUGUUUAUAAAGCAUAACAUGGGUAAACUCACUGCCUUAAUUAUAUAUGUUGAUGAUAUGGUAGUAACAGGUGAUGAUGCUGAGGAAAUUCAGUGCUUACAACAACAUUUGGCAUCCAAAUUUGAAAUAAAAAAUCUUGGAGAUCUUAAAUAUUUCCUCAAGAUUGAGAUAGCUCGAUCCAAGCAUGGUAUAUUUAUGUCACAACGUAAAUAUACUCUCAAUUUAUUGAUUGAAACAGGGAUGCUUGGAUGUAAAUCAGUUGAUAAUUCAAUGGAGCAAAAUCAUAAGUUUUUUCAAUGUUCUCAUGCUAGUUCUACAGAUAAAGGGAGAUAUCAGAGACUUGUGGGAAAAUUAAUUUAUUUAUCCCACACUCGACCUGACAUUGCUUAUGCUGUGAGUGUGGUAAGUCAAUUUAUGCAUGAUCCACGUAAACCUCACAUGGAUGCUGUAGAACGGAUUUUGCGAUAUUUAAAAUCUUCUCCAGGCAAAGGUCUAUUAUUCUCCAAACAUGGACACUUAGAUGUUGAAGGGUAUACUGAUGUUGAUUGGGCUGGUUCAGCUGACGACCGGCGUUCUACAUCCGGUUAUUUCACUUAUGUAGGUGGCAAUCUUGUGACUUGGAGAAGUAAAAAACAGUCUGUGGUGUCUAGAUCAAGUGCUGAAGCUGAAUAUCGAGGAAUGGCAAUUGGAGUAUGCGAAUUAUUGUGGUUAAAAAACUUGAUGAAAGAUUUGGGAUUCUCUCAAAGAAUUGCAAUGAAUCUUUGUGAUAAUACAUCAGCUAUAGAGAUUGCCCAUAAUCCUAUUCAACAUGAUAGGACAAAGCGUGUAGAAGUUGAUAGACAUUUCAUCAAAGAGAAGCUUGAAGUCAACAUUAUCCAUUUUCCUUUUGUAAAGUCAGAAUUUCAACUUGCUGAUGUUCUUACAAAAGUAGUAUCCAACAAAGUGUUUACAAGUUGUCUUGACAAGCUGAGCAUGUGUGACAUCCAUGCACCACCUUGAGGAGGGAUGUUAGAAUAUGUGAUUAGGAGUAAUCUUCUCCUAUAAUAAUGGAGUGAUUAUCCCCCCUAAUAUCAGGAUAGAAUCGUGCAAUUAUGAUCAUUCAAAUAUAGCAAUAGAAUAUCUUGUUGUAACAGUAACAUAAGUUUAGCAAUAUAUUCUUGUAUAUAUAUCUGCUACAUUGAUGAAUAACAAUAUCAGAAAAUUCUAUUCUCUUUGUGUUUUAUCAUUUGGUAAUAGAAUUUAUUUUAUUCACAAAUAUGCACCGUUCAAUAUUCUCGGAUAUCAUAUUAUUCAUGUUUCAAAUAAUUUCAUAAUAUCAAUAAUUCUACAUAUCUCAUAUGAUGACAUUUAAUCACAACUCUUUGAUAUAGUUUGAAAAGAUAUUUUCUUAAAUUCUUAUUUUAAUUUUUUGUGAAAUUCGGGUUAUCACACAUUUUUCCAACUAAGCUCAAGUGUUAAACGAAUUUGAUUCUAGUUUAAACGAGUCAAAUUAAACUUAUUCGCAACAUCUAAAUUUGUUUACAACUAUAUCAACUUUUGUUGACCUCUUUAAAUUUUGAAUGCUACUUGAAAAUAUUAUAAAAUUUGAAUGCAAACUUUUUUUUAUCUUACCUAAUAUUUUUUUAAUUUUUUUCACGUAAUUUUCAAUUUUAUUCAAUGUUACGACAAAGAUUUUAAGACAUUUCACAAUCAUAUUUUUUUUUCUAAUUAUUCCGAGAUCCUAUUUCAAGAUCAUAUUCAAAUAUUAUGUAUUUAAAUAUUUCAAAUAUUCAAAUGUAUAUUUAUAAUUAUAUUAAAAAUAUUUUGAAAUUUAAUUUUGAUAAACAUCUUAAUUCUCGUGCCAUAGUUUGAGAAGAUUAAAAGUUCAAUACAAUGUCAGUAACACACGCGCAUCUUAAUAUUAUGAAAUGUCACUAAUGAAGUAUUUAUGGUGGACUAAAUUAUUCUUAUUUUAAUUAUGUGUCAUAAUUUUAACACAAAUUAUGCAUAAAAAGUCAUAUACACAAUAUGGAGAAAAAAGUAAUAUACACUAUGAUCAGAAAGCUUCAUUAAUUGUCCGAUCUGAGAUUUAUAUCCUCAACCGGAUCCUCUCUUACAUUAACCGG